GUCCAGACUCCUACGGGAGGCAGCAGUGGGGAAUAUUGCACAAUGGGGGAAACCCUGAUGCAGCGACGCCGCGUGAGCGAAGAAGUACCUCGGUAUGUAAAGCUCUAUCAGCAGGGAAGAAGAUGACGGUACCUGACCAAGAAGCUCCGACUAAAUACGUGCCAGCAGCCGCGGUAAUACGUAUGGAGCAAGCGUUAUCCGGAUUUACUGGGUGUAAAGGGAGCGCAGGCGGCACGGCAAGUCCGGUGUGAAAGCCCGGGGCCCAACCCCGGGACUGCACUGGAAACUGCCGGGCUGGAGUGUCGGAGGGGCAGGCGGAAUUCCCAGUGUAGCGGUGAAAUGCGUAGAUAUUAGGAGGAACACCGGUGGCGAAGGCGGCCUGCUGGACGACGACUGACGCUGAGGCUCGAAAGCGUGGGGAGCAAACAGGAUUAGAUACCCGAGUACC
Molecule: ribosomal RNA, 448 nt
Filed under: uncultured bacterium
Lineage: Bacteria
Description: partial 16S ribosomal RNA
Rfam family: Bacterial small subunit ribosomal RNA
Source: RNAcentral